Molecule: ribosomal RNA, 547 nt
Filed under: uncultured Glomeromycotina
Lineage: Eukaryota; Fungi; Glomeromycota
Description: SSU rRNA
Rfam family: Eukaryotic small subunit ribosomal RNA
Source: RNAcentral
UUGGAGGGCAAGUCUGGUGCCAGCAGCCGCGGUAAUUCCAGCUCCAAUAGCGUAUAUUAAAGUUGUUGCAGUCAAAAAGCUCGUAGUUGAAUUUCGGGAUCGGAUUGUCGGUCGUGCCUCGGUACGCACUGGCAUUAUUGGUUCCUACCUUCUGAAGAACCGCGAUGUCAUUAAUUUGGUGUCGUGGGGAAUCAGGACUGUUACUUUGAAAAAAUUAGAGUGUUUAAAGCAGGCUUACGCUUGAAUACAUUAGCAUGGAAUAAUGAAAUAGGACGUUUGAUUCUAUUUAGUUGGUUUCUAGGAUUGACGUAAUGAUUAAUAGGGAUAGUUGGGGGCAUUAGUAUUCAAUUGUCAGAGGUGAAAUUCUUGGAUUUAUUGAAGACUAACUACUGCGAAAGCAUUUGCCAAGGAUGUUUUCAUUAAUCAAGAACGAAAGUUAGGGGAUCGAAGACGAUCAGAUACCGUCGUAGUCUUAACCAUAAACUAUGCCGACUAGGGAUCAGAUGAUGUUAAUUUUUUAAUGACUCAUUCGGCGCCUUACGGAAAC